AUGCUAGCAAGAUGGGCAGCAUAUCUGGAGAGGUUUAACUAUCUCAUCGUGCAUAAAUCUGGAAUAACUAACAGAGUGGCCGAUGCUUUCAGUCGUCGUGCAUGCCUCUUGACUUCUUUUGAAGCUAAACUUCCGGGCAUGGAUCGAAUAAAGGAGCUGUAUGAGGGUGACGAAGACUUUGGCCAUGUUUGGGUAAAGCACGCAAGGGGCCAACCAUUAGGUGAUGACUAUUUGAUGCAAGAUGGAUAUCUCUUCAAAAAUGAUCGUUUGUGCAUUUCAAGAAGUUCUCUACGUGACAAGCUGGUUAGAGAGCUCCAUUCAAGUGAUCUUAGUGGCCAUGUUGGACGGGACAAGACUAUCGCUAGCCUGGAAGCUUGCUACUUUUGGCCACAACUAAAAAGAGAUGCUGGAAAGUUUGUUCAGCGAUGCCCAAUAUGUCAAACCUACAAAGGCCACCUUUGCCUGUUCGUGUCGCUCCAUGGGAGGACAUCUCUAUGGACUUUGUCUUGGGCUUGCCAAGAACAAGACGAGGAAGUGAUGCUAUAUUUGUGGUCGUGGAUAGACUCUCUAAGAUGGCUCAUUUCAUCCCAUGUCGCAAAACAAUGGAUUCUCAUCAUGUGGCAAACCUAUUCUUUCAAGAAGUGGUCAGACUUCAUGGAGUACCAAGGUCCAUCGUCUCAGACCGUGAUAGCAAGUUUCUUGCUGCAUUUUGGCUCACUUUGUGGAAGCAAUUCAACACUGAAUUGA
RNAcentral lists this ribosomal RNA (747 nucleotides) under Triticum aestivum (bread wheat). RNAcentral's name for it is "partial small subunit ribosomal RNA". The record is from RNAcentral. Lineage: Eukaryota; Viridiplantae; Streptophyta; Magnoliopsida; Poales; Poaceae.